Long non-coding RNA from Papaver somniferum (opium poppy), 1625 nucleotides. RefSeq lists it as uncharacterized. Lineage: Eukaryota; Viridiplantae; Streptophyta; Magnoliopsida; Ranunculales; Papaveraceae. The transcript is spliced from 6 exons. The record is from RefSeq and is a predicted model, not a curated record.
CCCGAACCCGGACUGGCUGGUUUCUAAACAAGCCGGGUUAGGGUUGGAGAAAUGGUGACCCGUCGAGAAACGGGUUAACCCGGCCCGGACCGUGAAACCACGGUUUAACCCGUGAACCCGCACUUCAUACGUGUCGCCUCUCCUUCACUGGAUUAAUCGACCGAGAGGAUAAACUCUCAUUUAUAUUUUCUUCUUCUUCUCGUUUCUUUCUUCUUCUCUUCUUUCUGUUUUUCACCUCUGGUGAAUUCUUGUGAGGGCUCUGAGGUGGUGAGGUUGGGAUAAUUAGACAAGAGUCAUGGGUUGUUGCUGGAGGUGGUGUUUUUCUUGGCUGAACAAGGAGAGAAGAGGAAAUAUUAAAUCAGUGAAGAUAUGAAUUAGAGUUUAUAGAGUUGGAUGAUGUUAUGAAGAUUUAGAAGAUAAAUUAUGAAGUUAUUGUUGUUGAAGAUUCAUGAGUAGUUUUUUAAUUUAAGCCUUGAAGUUGAUUCAGUGACGAAUCAUUGAAGAAUCAAUAGUUAGGGUUUUCUGUAAUUGAUCGAGAAUUCAAUUAAAGGUGAAUAAGAAGAAGUUAGAAGAUGAGUUUGUUUUUGAUUGGUAUUUGAUGUAAAUGGUGGAGUUAUCCUGAAAAAUUGAUUAAGAAAUUGCAGAUUUAGGGUUCCUCAUGUUCUUCCCCAAUUUAUAAAUUAGAGUUUCUGAGGGUUGCUGAUUAUGAGACUCAGAUCGAGACAGAAGAAGGGUAGAGUUGGUUUUGGUAGAUGGUGGUGAUCUUGAGAUGAAUUCUGAAUCAGGUCAGAGUAAGAAGAAUCUAAUUCAAUUGCUUGAGUUGGAUUGGUUUGAGGUUGAACUGCAGUUAUUAGCGCAGAACUGAAGUGAGUUAGUAUUAGUAAUAUGCCUGGGGUGAUCGAAUUACUAGUAGUAUUGUUGAAUGAGUUUCUGUUUUACUCGUUGGUUAGACGGACCAUUAACAGAAGUAAAUGUAAGACAAUAUGGAUUGGUGGUGGCCAGACAAAGAAAUUGAUGCUCUUGUUUAUCCUCAAGGAAGACGGUAAACCCUCAAAUCCAAAUUAUGUUUGCUUAUCUGAUUUCUCUUUCUGAAAACAUAGUGAAUUAGCCACCGAUUCUGCAAUCUUUGAUUAUUGAUCAUCUUAGCAUCUAAGCACGAGAAGAGGCUGAAAAGGCCAAAGAAGGUGAUGGAUCCACAACACUUUCAAUGAGUGGAAGAUGAUUUGGUUAAAUGGGAUUGUUCUUGUUUGGAAAAAGGAUAGAAAUAGAGAGCUAUUGAUGGCAGUAAGAGUUGGUGACUAAAAUGGCAAGGUUCGUGCUUGGAGGGUGGUUGAAAAAUUGUCUCAACAAAAUCCCUUGUGAUUUGGAGGAGCUAAUGCACAGAUUCUUCUGCAACAUUUUUGUAGUAUGUUUUAACUGGCAGUACUCAGUUCUAGCCAUCACGGGGGUUGAACAUCUAAAAUGUUGGCUCAACUGAGGGAAGAGUUGGUGUCCAUCAUUUGGAUUUGGAUGAUUCUCAGCAAGAGAAAAACUUCACCUUCAAAUGCAUAGAAUUCUUGCUGCGAUUGAAGCAACGAUGGGUUGAGCUGAAAAUGGACUGAUUAGAUGUAUGUUAGGUGCUAUAG